GUCACUUUGUCUUUAUGGCAAAUGUGAGAUGCAGUGUAUGGAACAUCUUAAAUCUAGUAUGAGAAAUUAACGAUUUAAGUCCUUCUUAAAUGAGGCCAUUUACCCAUAGAGGGUGCCAGGCCCGUAUAACGUUAAUGAUUACUAGAAGAUGUUUCCAAAGAGUCGUGUUGCUUGAUAGUGCAGCACUAAGUGGGUGGUAAACUCCAUCUAAAACUAAAUAUAACCAUGAGACCGAUAGUAAACAAGUACCGUGAGGGAAAGUUGAAAAGAACUCUGAAUAGAGAGUUAAAUAGUACGUGAAACUGCUUAGAGGUUAAGCCCGAUGAACCUGAAUAUCCAUUAUGGAAAAUUCAUCAUUAUGAUUGUAAUAUCUAAACAAUAUUAUAAUAAUAGUGUGCAUUUUUUCCAUAUAAGGACAUUGUAAUCUAUUAACAUCUAUUUAUCAAAAGAUCAUUUGCUUAUGUUUAUUCAAAUUAGUUUGCUUGCAAGUUAACAUAGAAUAAAUGCUUAUGAUUUGAUAAAGUGUUGAUAGAUUUUAUUAUAUAUAGUGCUUAAAUUCUUUGAAUUUUAUAAUGGCAUUGGAAUCAUGAUUUCAGUGUUUAUUAUAUGCGCUUAUAUGAUUAACAAUGCG
RNAcentral lists this ribosomal RNA (631 nucleotides) under Archiborborus hirtipes. RNAcentral's name for it is "eukaryotic LSU rRNA". It matches the Rfam family "Eukaryotic large subunit ribosomal RNA", at positions 118 to 626 of the family's 3401-position model. Lineage: Eukaryota; Metazoa; Arthropoda; Insecta; Diptera; Sphaeroceridae. The record is from RNAcentral.